CGGACUGAGAAAAGCCAGCACUCCUUCUUAGAGAGUGGUGACCCGGCCAGCUCUUAUUUUCCUGACUAUUCCUCCCAUGUUUCCAAAAUAUGAUGCAACCUGAGACAUGGGUUUUGGAUGUUUGAGAAGCAAAGAAGCAUGAAAUGGAGCAGGACUUAAAGCGUACUUUUGCUUGAAGACCAAGGAGCUCAGUCUUUUACAGGUUCUAACAGGUAUAUGCCCAAGAGGAAAGGAAAUAUGUGUUCAUGAAAAGACUGGUACAGAAGGUUCAUAGAAGAUUUGUUUGUAAUAGCCAAAAACUGGAAACAGCCCCAAGUGGCCAUCAAUGGUGACUUGGUCUGCUAGAGACAAGUGAUGCUGCCUCACAUCUACUCCUCAUUGACUGGAGAGGAAACCAUUAUAUCCUUAACAGCUCUGUAAAGUCUCUUUGUUGUCAAUGUCUUUAUUUGAAUCUUAGAUCGAAUGUUAGCUUUAAAUGUCAGAGUUUGGGGUAAGCGAAGCAUCUGUAAGACGCCUCUUUGCACGUGUGUGUAUCUUCCAGGGUGUCCUACCCUUGAUUCUACAAGAUUACCCUAAUCUCAAAUGGGAAGUGAUGGGAUCAGUAGGAUGAGGGCACAGACAUCACUUCAGAACUCCAAGUCACAAUCAGGUCGUUGGUCCUAAACCAGGGGUGCCCCAGAACAAACAGGUAUUGCAAGAAAGAAGUGAACAUAAAUGUCAGUGGCUUAAUAUGUUUCCCCAAUGGAAAAUUCAGGAGAUAGGUGGCAUGUGAAGGGAUAAAAUGAACAUCAGAGUCAAAUGAACAUCAUUUAUAGCCCAGCUGUGUCCCUGCUCCUGUCUUUAAUCAAUGAAAAUGAAUGAUGACUCCAGACCCAUUGGUGAGUAACUGAUUCUCACGGCUUCUGGUCAACCAAAAGAUCCAUGGUAUGCUAGAAAUAGGGCUGGAGGUAGGGGAAAUGUGCCCAUAUGCCUCCCUAGUUGUCUGGGAGCUUAUUCAUUUUCUAAGGAGUAUAAGGGAAUGGUUGAACUCUAGUACAAAAUGACUGCUGACAUUAAGAAACGAAGAUUGUUCUGAGUGAGCAUGGUCUGAAAACUGAGCCCUUAACAGACUGAACUCAUCCUGAAGAGGGAGCUUCACUGUGAGGGAGAUGCUCUGUUACUGACUUUGAACGUGGAGAGGGCCGCAUGGCAGGGAUCCGAGAGGGGCCUCUAGGAGCUGAGAGUGACUCCUGGCUGACAGCUGGCCUGAAGACAGGACUUAAUUCAUACAAGGAAAUGAAUUCUGCCUAUAGCCAGCAAGCUUGGAAGAGGAUCCCAAUCCUCAGAUGAGAACUGCAAACCCAGCUUGUGACUUCAGUCUUGUGAGACCUUAAGGAGAGAGCCGAUAUGAGCCCACCUACACUUCUGACAUAGAAAAUUGAGAUAAUAAAUGGCUUUUAAGUUGCUAAGUUUGUACUAACAUGUUAUGGCAGUGGUAGAAAACUGGUACAAUAUCUUUUUCUCACUUAAGUUUUACACUCUACAUCUUAAGCAUUUUUUUUUACAUAACUGGAAUGCUUAGUAAUCAAUAUACCAUUCACAUAUUAGUUCUUGAUUUUUCAUAUAACUUGUGGCUGUAUGUAUGAUGAUU
Molecule: long non-coding RNA, 1630 nt
Organism: Equus caballus (horse)
Lineage: Eukaryota; Metazoa; Chordata; Mammalia; Perissodactyla; Equidae
Source: RefSeq, a predicted model, not a curated record